Molecule: ribosomal RNA, 255 nt
Filed under: uncultured bacterium
Lineage: Bacteria
Description: partial 16S ribosomal RNA
Rfam family: Bacterial small subunit ribosomal RNA
Source: RNAcentral
UACAGAGGGUGCGAGCGUUGUUCGGAAUUACUGGGCGUAAAGCGUGCGUAGGUGGUGUGUUAAGUCUGCCGGUCAAAUGCCGAGGCUCAACCUCGUUGCACGCCGGGGAUACUGGCACGCUAGAGACAAGUAGAGGCAAGCGGAAUUCCGGGUGUAGCGGUGGAAUGCGUAGAGAUCCGGAAGAACACCGGAGGCGAAGGCGGCUUGCUGGGCUUGGUCUGACGCUGAGGCGCGAAAGCGUGGGGAGCGAACAGG